AUUUUAAUUAUUCUAGUAAGAAUGUAAUGGAGAGGCCUUCCCAGUACCCACUGUGCCCCCUGUGCCUGUGCAGAGAGAGGCACCACACACUGGGAGUCCUUAUUCAUCAAAGUGAGGCUCCACAGCCCAACAUCAGGGUACAUAUAGGCUUGAGGAUGCUGCUGUUAAGAAACUGAGAUAUUGUGACUUCUAACAAGGGACAACAAUGAGGACCUGGUAAGAUGUCACCAAGGUCCCUGUGGCCUGGCUGCACCAGAGGUAUCUCUACUAGGGGUGCUAACAGUUAUCCUGUUGCGGAGGUAACAGGAAAUCUUACAUGGGGUUGCCUCUCUCUUGUUUCUCCUACUAACAGCAACUUCUUAUGAUUACCCUCUCACUAGUCAUAUAAUCGAAUACCUCCAUAUUCUCACAUCUUACCUCAUAAACAUCUCAGCCAACCCCCCAGGCCCUCUUCUACCAUCAGAAACUGUAAACUAUUAUGCAAACCUAUUGACUAUAUGGUAGAUGAUAACCAAACUCAUAAUUUCUGAUUAUAGUGACUGUAAAUGUAAAAAUAGAAGCUAACCCAUCUGUGGCUGCUUGGAAGACAGUAACUCAGACAAUGAAGACAAAAUAUACAAUCUUGAAGAUAAAGUUGACCUCACAGUGAAGAUGGUGAGAAACCAUGAACAGAACAUCCAAGAACUAUGGGAUACCAUCAAAAGACCAAAUUUAAGAUUUGUUGGAAAAAAUUAAAAAAAAAAAAGAUUUAUUGGGGUAGAGGAAGAUUCAGAGAUUCAAGCCAAAUGAAUGCACAAUCUUUUCAAUGAAAUAAUAUCAGAAAACUUCCCAAGCAUGAAAUAUGAAUUGGAAAAUCAAAUACAAGAGAACUAUAGGACACCAAAUGUACAAAAUUAAAAUAAAUCUACACCAAGACACAUUAUAAUGAAAAUGCCUAGAAUAAGGAUAAAAUUUUA
RNAcentral lists this long non-coding RNA (956 nucleotides) under Marmota monax (woodchuck). The record is from RNAcentral. Lineage: Eukaryota; Metazoa; Chordata; Mammalia; Rodentia; Sciuridae.